CUGGAGCGUUUCCCAGGGAACAGUGCAACAGACAUGUUUGGCUUCUUUGCAUCUGACAGCUGUGCAGCAAUCUCGUACUACAGAACAGGCUGGCACUUAACAUAAUCAACAAUCACUGUGGAUGGGAUGGCCAGCAAGGACUGGCACUAGAGACCUGAGAUACUCACCAAUGCUCGGAAGACCCUACCUGACCAACCGUACAUAACGUCCACUCACUGGGAUAACAGUGUGUUAGCUUUACUUGCUGAAGUAUCCGUGUGGCCUGACGUGGGCAGUUGGACACAGUGUAGCUUGACUACUCUCAAUCAAUGCAGCGCCUCUUCAACCUCAAGAGGCUGAAGAAAUGUGGCUUCUCACCAAAAGCACUCAAACUUCUACAGAUGCACAAUCGAGAGCAUCC
Oncorhynchus tshawytscha (Chinook salmon) is the source of this 400-nucleotide long non-coding RNA. The record is from Ensembl. NCBI's taxonomy places the organism in Eukaryota, Metazoa, Chordata, Actinopteri, Salmoniformes, Salmonidae.